Molecule: non-coding RNA, 101 nt
Organism: Gymnopus androsaceus JB14
Lineage: Eukaryota; Fungi; Basidiomycota; Agaricomycetes; Agaricales; Omphalotaceae
Source: the annotation of a GenBank genome assembly
UUCUUCUUAGCUCAGUUGGUAGAGCGCGUCACUAGUAUUGUCCAUCAAUGUGAUCUGAUUGAUCUAUGAGGAGGUUAGUCGUUCAAGUCGGCUAGAAGGAA